This 424-nucleotide ribosomal RNA is filed under the name Verrucomicrobiota bacterium. RNAcentral's name for it is "Verrucomicrobia bacterium partial 16S ribosomal RNA". It matches the Rfam family "Bacterial small subunit ribosomal RNA", at positions 355 to 776 of the family's 1533-position model. Lineage: Bacteria; Pseudomonadati; Verrucomicrobiota. The record is from RNAcentral.
UGAGGAAUAUUGGUCAAUGGGCGAGAGCCUGAACCAGCCAAGUAGCGUGCAGGAUGACGGCCCUAUGGGUUGUAAACUGCUUUUAUAUGGGAAUAAAGUGAGGGACGUGUCCCUUAUUGCAUGUACCAUACGAAUAAGGACCGGCUAAUUCCGUGCCAGCAGCCGCGGUAAUACGGAAGGUCCAGGCGUUAUCCGGAUUUAUUGGGUUUAAAGGGAGCGUAGGCUGUUUGUUAAGCGUGUUGUGAAAUGUAAGAGCUCAACUUUUAGAUUGCAGCGCGAACUGGCAGACUUGAGUGCGCACAACGUAGGCGGAAUUCAUGGUGUAGCGGUGAAAUGCUUAGAUAUCAUGACGAACUCCGAUUGCGAAGGCAGCUUACGGGAGCGCAACUGACGCUAAAGCUCGAAGGUGGGGGUAUCGAACAGG